This 460-nucleotide ribosomal RNA is filed under the name uncultured bacterium. RNAcentral's name for it is "partial 16S ribosomal RNA". It matches the Rfam family "Bacterial small subunit ribosomal RNA", at positions 338 to 795 of the family's 1533-position model. The record is from RNAcentral.
CCUACGGGAGGCAGCAGUGAGGAAUAUUGGUCAAUGGACGCGAGCCUGAACCAGCCAAGUCGCGUGAAGGAUGACUGCCCUACGGGUUGUAAACUUCUUUUGUACAAGAAUAAAGUUACUCACGUGUGCCGUUUUGUAUGUACUUUAUGAAUAAGAAUCGGCUAACUCCGUGCCAGCAGCCGCGGUAAUACGGAGGAUCCGAGCGUUAUCCGGAUUUAUUGGGUUUAAAGGGAGCGUAGAUGGGGUGUUAAGUUAGUGGUGAAAGUUUGCGGCUCAACCGUAAAAUUGCAAGUGAUACUGGCAGUCGGGAGGACAGAUGCGGCAGGCGGAAUGCGUGGUGUAGCGGUGAAAUGCUUAGAUAUCACGAAGAACUCCGAUUGCGAAGGCAGCUUACUAAUCUGCAACUGACAUUGAUGCACGAAAGUGUGGGUAUCAAACAGGAUUAGAUACCCGUGUAGUC